GAUUCCAUGCCUGACCAGGGGUAGGGGGAUGGGACGGAUCCAUCACCUAUCCCUUCAAAGAGAAGUAAGGCGGCCGACCAAGGGGGAGGUCUCGAGCGAUCAACGAGACCUCCCAGCCUUCAGUCAAGCCUCGUGAGGUGGCUCCAGCUCCUAGGCCGGGUGCUUCCAGCCGUGCACGGUGUGAGCGCGAGGAUUCAUUUCCCAACUUUGGGUUUCCUCCCACCCGGGGCUAUCAUGAGAUGGGGGUGCUCAAGUCUUUGGUGACGCCCGCUCGAGCUAGAGCAAUUGCAGGGCGUAGUGCAGACGAUAUUGAAAGGGCUGCUGCUAUUUAUCUCCAGAGGGUAUGUUUUCAAUUUCGCAUUUUCUUUUAUGUUGGGUCUUGCCUUUUAGGCUUGGUUUUAACGCUUGACUUUUAUUUUACCCCCUCAUUUCUUAGGUGGUAGCCCUCCGGACUGACUCGCUGAAUCGAAUCGUCGCCUGGCCUCGAAGUUGAAGACUCUUACUGAAGAAAAGAAAAAGGAGGCUCAUCAUUACAAGAAAAAGAUAUCCUCCUUGAAGAAGUCUCUAGAGACGUUGGAUGCUCGAGCUCGUGAACAGGAGACGGAGAAUGACAACUUGCGUUUUGUUUUGGCUCGCGCUCUGGAAGAGGCGAUUGAGAGGUAUAAGGCUUCAGCUGAGUAUGCCAGAGAUCUCGAGGUAUCUGUGAAGGAGUAUAAGACAUCGUUUGAUUAUGCUAAGGCUUUGAAUUCAUAUGGGAGGAAGGCGAUGGCAGCGUCUAUCGAACUCUUCAAGGAGUGGAUUAUGGUCGAGAAUCCUUCUAUAGACCCAUCUGGUCUAGAUAGAUUUCUUGCGCAGCGCAAGGGGAAGGAGAGUGGAGCACAGUCAUCCAGCUCGCUUGGACGUUCAUCACGAGGUGGUAGUGGAGAUGUCUCCCCUUCGAGCUGAAGCAUUUCUUAGUUGUUGUUCCCUUUGCUAGCUUUUCCUUUUUUGUGUUUACUUUUGUUUAGUCUCAUUAUCUCCUACUUGUCCGGGGUGUGGGCAAGAAUUUCUCAUAUGUAUAAAUACAUUUUCCGUUCGCUAUUAUUAGU
Molecule: long non-coding RNA, 1088 nt
Filed under: Olea europaea subsp. europaea
Lineage: Eukaryota; Viridiplantae; Streptophyta; Magnoliopsida; Lamiales; Oleaceae
Source: RNAcentral